UUCCCUACUUCCUGAAGACUUCACACGGCCACUGAGCUUUACUCUGGAUGGAACUCUUCUUUCCCGUUUGGCAGUGGAGAUGGGAACCUUGGUUUCUCUAACAGGAAGGCAUCAGAAAUACAGUGCUGAUUUAUGCCAAGAGAAGCCACUGUGCUAUGGCCAAGAACUUCCGGGCACAGCCAGGGGAAGGAGAGGAGAUAAUUGAGGCACAGAGAGACGUCAAGGAGACACGGAGAGAGUCGGACAUACAUAAUGAAAGAAAGAUCAAGAUGUAGAACUCUCAGCUACCUCUCCAGCACCAUGUCUGCCUGCACGCUACCUUGCUACCUGCCACGAAGACAAUGAAUUCUACCUCUAACACUGUAAGCCAGCCCCAAUUAAGUAUCUCCCUUUAUAAGA
Long non-coding RNA from Peromyscus eremicus (cactus mouse), 399 nucleotides. RefSeq lists it as uncharacterized. The transcript has 3 exons. The record is from RefSeq and is a predicted model, not a curated record. Lineage: Eukaryota; Metazoa; Chordata; Mammalia; Rodentia; Cricetidae.